AUGUUGUCUCUGGAGUCCUGCAGUAGGGCCAUGCCAAUUCCAGCAGCAGCAGAGUUGCACACUUCUUAAGAAAAAAAAUCUCCUAGAGUGUUACUAAGCUCUGUUAGAGAUGGAACACUUGACCAUAGAGCAUCUUCCCAUGAUUAACUUGGUUUAUCAGACCCACCACCUAAUAAUACUGGAUGGACUCAGCAAGUCCUUCAUUGAAUGGAGAUGGUACAUCUGGGAUGGAGCCUGAUCAGGGACCAGAGGGCAAAACAAGCUACAUGAGUAAGCAGUCCAGACCUACAUGUCAUCAACUGUGACUUUCUACAUCCUUCUUCCAGCUUCUACAUGUGGCUGAUGGGGAUCCUCUAUGACCAGCAGAAGGAAGAGGAAAAAGUCCGAGCUCUAUUAUAGAUGUCUAACUAGCCAAAAGCAGAAAACACCACAAAGAGAGAAGAGGCGGAGAGCCGAAGGGAGAAGCCCACAGUGACAUGGCAGUUAAAAUGUCCCCAACAGUUACUUCAUGAAUUAUUCUUGCACUCAAGGUUUGAAAACAUUUAAUCAACUCUCCUCCCAGGACAUUUGAUUUCUGUGCACUUCUGCACUUGUGGGCUCCAUCUGGGGGAAGAAGUGCCAAAACCACCAUUGGAAAGACUGCCCCGGAGGUAUUUUCAGUCCGACUGGAAGCAGCAGGUAACGGAAAUCUUAUGAGACAGCUUGUUCUCAGGAGAUUUUCUUGUCCAGUUUUGCUGACCAAAGCAUUCCCCUGGUUUGAAUAAACCUUGAAUUAGCAGCUGCACU
Molecule: long non-coding RNA, 786 nt
Organism: Suricata suricatta (meerkat)
Lineage: Eukaryota; Metazoa; Chordata; Mammalia; Carnivora; Herpestidae
Exons: 3
Source: RefSeq, a predicted model, not a curated record